This 253-nucleotide ribosomal RNA is filed under the name uncultured bacterium. RNAcentral's name for it is "partial 16S ribosomal RNA". It matches the Rfam family "Bacterial small subunit ribosomal RNA", at positions 524 to 776 of the family's 1533-position model. The record is from RNAcentral.
UACGUAGGGUGCAAGCGUUAAUCGGAAUUACUGGGCGUAAAGCGUGCGCAGGCGGUUCGCUAAGCCAGAUGUGAAAUCCCCGGGCUUAACCUGGGAACUGCAUUUGUGACUGGCGGGCUAGAGUAUGGCAGAGGGGGGUAGAAUUCCACGUGUAGCAGUGAAAUGCGUAGAGAUGUGGAGGAAUACCGAUGGCGAAGGCAGCCCCCUGGGCCAAUACUGACGCUCAUGCACGAAAGCGUGGGGAGCAAACAGG